GAUGAACGCUAGCUACAGGCUUAACACAUGCAAGUCGAGGGGAAACGACAUCGAAAGCUUGCUUUUGAUGGGCGUCGACCGGCGCACGGGUGAGUAACGCGUAUCCAACCUGCCCACCACUUGGGGAUAACCUUGCGAAAGUAAGACUAAUACCCAAUGAGAUCCCACGAAGACAUCCGAAUGGGAUUAAAGAUUUAUCGGUGAUGGAUGGGGAUGCGUCUGAUUAGCUUGUUGGCGGGGUGACGGCCCACCAAGGCAACGAUCAGUAGGGGUUCUGAGAGGAAGGUCCCCCACAUUGGAACUGAGACACGGUCCAAACUCCUACGGGAGGCAGCAGUGAGGAAUAUUGGUCAAUGGGCGAGAGCCUGAACCAGCCAAGUAGCGUGCAGGAUGACGGCCCUAUGGGUUGUAAACUGCUUUUAUAAGGGAAUAAAGUGGGUCACGUGUGACUUUUUGCAUGUACCUUAUGAAUAAGGACCGGCUAAUUCCGUG
Molecule: ribosomal RNA, 492 nt
Filed under: uncultured bacterium
Lineage: Bacteria
Description: partial 16S ribosomal RNA
Rfam family: Bacterial small subunit ribosomal RNA
Source: RNAcentral